This 773-nucleotide ribosomal RNA is filed under the name uncultured Neocallimastigales. RNAcentral describes it as "partial large subunit ribosomal RNA". It matches the Rfam family "Eukaryotic large subunit ribosomal RNA", at positions 22 to 637 of the family's 3401-position model. Lineage: Eukaryota; Fungi; Neocallimastigomycota; Neocallimastigomycetes; Neocallimastigales. The record is from RNAcentral.
UACACGCUGUGACUAGCAUAUCAAUAAGCGGAGGAAAAGAAACUAACAAGGAUUCCCCUAGUAACGGCGAGUGAAGCGGGAAGAGCUCAAAUUUGAAAUCUUAAAGGGUUUCCCUUUACGAAUUGUAGUUUAAAGAAGUGUUUUCUGUUGAGGUUUUGGUAAAAGUUCUUUGGAAUAGGACAUCAUAGAGGGUGAGAAUCCCGUAUUUGACCUUUACUUUCAACUUUGUGAUACACUUUCAAAGAGUCGGAUUGUUUGGGAAUGCAGUCCAAAAUGGGUGGUAAAUUUCAUCUAAAGCUGAAUAUUGGCGAGAGACCGAUAGCGAACAAGUACCGUGAGGGAAAGAUGAAAAGAACUUUGAAAAGAGAGUUAAACAGUACGUGAAAUUGUCAAAAGGGAAGCGUUUGACACCAGUGUUGUUUUUCUGAAAAUCAAUUAAAGAACUGUUUAUGCUAAGUUGUUUAGACUUUAUCAGCUAACUGUUUAGUUUUGAGCUUUUCUUUAAUGCACUUUUCAGUUAACAAGUCAACAUCAAUUCCUUUUGCUGUAAAAAAGCUUGAGGAAGGUGGCUUGAGAUUCGUCUUAAGUGUUUAUAGCCUCUUGCCUAUGCAGUCGGAGAGAUUGAGGUCUGCAGCGUAGAUCCUUCGGGGCUAAAUGCAUUUGUGCUAAGUUAUAACAUUUCAUAGACAACUUGUUGACUAUGAUUUGUCUUGUAGCUUACUCGCUUAUGUUAUUUUACCUACGCUUAGGAUGUUGACAGCAGUAUAGACUGU